Long non-coding RNA from Dromiciops gliroides (monito del monte), 256 nucleotides. RefSeq lists it as uncharacterized. The record is from RefSeq and is a predicted model, not a curated record. The transcript is spliced from 3 exons. Lineage: Eukaryota; Metazoa; Chordata; Mammalia; Microbiotheria; Microbiotheriidae.
UGAAGAAUUAUUGCAGAUUUUAGAAAAGAAGGAUGACAUGAUCAUAUGAUUGGGAAGAUUCUUCUGCAUGGCAUGAGGAGACCAGAAUCCAAGAGGGCAGUCUGAGAGCAGAGAUGGAGGCACUCUUGGGGGAGCCAUCUGAAAAUGGAAUUGUACAUACUAUUGUAGUGGAGGAAGAAAUUGAGGCACUGAUAUAUGACGUACCAUGCCCCAAAGACAUUCAUCAAGUAAAGGAUCACCUAAGAUUGGAACUCAG